Molecule: ribosomal RNA, 1413 nt
Filed under: metagenome
Description: bacterial SSU rRNA
Rfam family: Bacterial small subunit ribosomal RNA
Source: RNAcentral
GUUUGAUCCUGGCUCAGAACGAACGCUGGCGGCGUGGAUUAGGCAUGCAAGUCGAGCGAGAUCUUAUCGUUGAAUCCUUCAGGUGAAGAUUUUAAGUGAUAGCGGCGAACGGGUGAGGAACACUUGAGUAAUCUGCCUUUAUGUCCGGGAUAGCCUCGGGAACCCGUGAUUAAUACCGGAUGUGGUCGGUCAACGCAUGUUGACCUGUCUAAAAGUGGGGAUCCUGCUUGCAGGACCUGUUGCAUAAAGAUGGGCUCAAGUCCUAUCAGCUUGUUGGUGAGGUAACGGCUCACAAAGGCUAAGACGGGUAGCUGGUCUGAGAGGAUGGUCAGCCACACUGGGACUGAGACACUGCCCAGACUCCUACGGGAGGCUGCAGUCGAGAAUCAUUCACAAUGCACGAAAGUGUGAUGAUGCGACGCCGCGUGGAGGAUGACGGCCUUCGGGUUGUAAACUCCUGUCAGGAGGGAACAAAUUUACAGAUGCGAAUAACAUGUGUAACUGAUGGUACCUCCAGAGGAAGCCACGGCUAACUCUGUGCCAGCAGCCGCGGUAAUACAGAGGUGGCAAGCGUUGUUCGGAUUUACUGGGCGUAAAGGGUGCGUAGGCGGUUUCGUAUGUCGGAUGUGAAAGCCCACGGCUCAACCGUGGAAAUGCAUCCGAAACUGCGGAACUAGAGUACUGGAGAGGUGAGUGGAAUUCUCGGUGUAGCGGUGAAAUGCGUAGAUAUCGAGAGGAACAUCGGUGGCGAAGGCGACUCACUGGACAGAUACUGACGCUGAGGCACGAAAGCUGGGGGAGCAAAGAGGAUUAGAUACCCUCGUAGUCCCAGCCGUAAACGGUGUACACUUGGUGUAGGAGGAUUUAUCCCCUUCUGUGCCGGAGCUAACGCGUUAAGUGUACCGCCUGGGGAGUACGGUCGCAAGAUUAAAACUCAAAGGAAUUGACGGGGGCCCGCACAAGCGGUGGAGCAUGUGGCUUAAUUCGAUGCAACGCGAAGAACCUUACCCAAGCUUGACAUCCUGGUCGUACCUACCCGAAAGGUGUGGGUCAGUUCGGCUGGACCAGUGACAGGUGCUGCAUGGCUGUCGUCAGCUCGUGCCGUGAGGUGUUGGGUUAAGUCCCGCAACGAGCGCAACCCUUGUCCCUAGUUGCCAUCAGGGAGUGAUCCGCUGGGCACUCUAGGGAGACUGCCGGUGACAAGCCGGAGGAAGGUGGGGAUGACGUCAAGUCAGUAUGGUCCUUAUGCUUGGGGCUGCACACGUGCUACAAUGGUCGGUACAAUGGGAAGCUAUACCGCGAGGUGGAGCAAAUCCUGAAAACCGGCCUCAGUUCGGAUCGUAGUCUGCAACUCGACUACGUGAAGCUGGAAUCGCUAGUAAAGGCGUAUCAGCUACGACGCCUUGAAUACGC